Branchiostoma floridae (Florida lancelet) is the source of this 143-nucleotide non-coding RNA. Lineage: Eukaryota; Metazoa; Chordata; Leptocardii; Amphioxiformes; Branchiostomatidae. The record is from Rfam.
GUAUCGGUAGGGUAAUCCUUACCUGUUGUCUCUCCGGAGACUUCAGUAAUGGAUUACGUAUGAUGAAUCGAGACAUAUGACUCCAGGUGAGUUAGAGCGUCUUGGGGCUUGGGGACUGCAACACCCUCAUGCUCAAUUCUGAC